Molecule: ribosomal RNA, 566 nt
Filed under: uncultured bacterium
Lineage: Bacteria
Description: partial 16S ribosomal RNA
Rfam family: Bacterial small subunit ribosomal RNA
Source: RNAcentral
UGGGGAAUUUUGGACAAUGGGGGAAACCCUGAUCCAGCCAUCCCGCGUGUGCGAUGAAGGCCUUCGGGUUGUAAAGCACUUUUGGCAGGAAAGAAACGUCGCGGGUUAAUACCCCGCGAAACUGACGGUACCUGCAGAAUAAGCACCGGCUAACUACGUGCCAGCAGCCGCGGUAAUACGUAGGGUGCAAGCGUUAAUCGGAAUUACUGGGCGUAAAGCGUGCGCAGGCGGUUCGGAAAGAAAGAUGUGAAAUCCCAGAGCUUAACUUUGGAACUGCAUUUUUAACUACCGGGCUAGAGUGUGUCAGAGGGAGGUGGAAUUCCGCGUGUAGCAGUGAAAUGCGUAGAUAUGCGGAGGAACACCGAUGGCGAAGGCAGCCUCCUGGGAUAACACUGACGCUCAUGCACGAAAGCGUGGGGAGCAAACAGGAUUAGAUACCCUGGUAGUCCACGCCCUAAAACGAUGUCAACUAGCUGUUGGGGCCUUCGGGCCUUGGUAGCGCAGCUAACGCGUGAAGUUGACCGCCUGGGGAGUACGGUCGCAAGAUUAAAAACUUAAAUGAAUUG